Molecule: ribosomal RNA, 308 nt
Filed under: Babesia gibsoni
Lineage: Eukaryota; Apicomplexa; Aconoidasida; Piroplasmida; Babesiidae
Description: SSU rRNA
Rfam family: Eukaryotic small subunit ribosomal RNA
Source: RNAcentral
AAUUGUCUUGUAAUUGGAAUGAUGGUGACGUAAAAUCUCACCAGAGUAACAAUUGGAGGGCAAGUCUGGUGCCAGCAGCCGCGGUAAUUCCAGCUCCAAUAGCGUAUAUUAAACUUGUUGCAGUUAAAAAGCUCGUAGUUGAAUUUCUGCGUUGCCCGACUCGGCUACUUGCCUUGUCUGGUUUCGCUUUUGGGGUUUUCCCCUUUUUACUUUGAGAAAAUUAGAGUGUUUCAAGCAGACUUGUGUCUUGAAUACUUCAGCAUGGAAUAAUAAAGUAGGACUUUGGUUCUAUUUUGUUGGUUUGUGAA